UCUGACCUCGAAUCAGGUGGGACUACCCGCUGAACUUAAGCAUAUCAAUAAGCGGAGGAAAAGAAACUAACAAGGAUUCCCUUAGUAACUGCGAGUGAAGUGGGAUGAGCUCAAAUUUAAAAUCUGGUAGUCUUUGGCU
Molecule: ribosomal RNA, 139 nt
Filed under: Hydnum rufescens
Lineage: Eukaryota; Fungi; Basidiomycota; Agaricomycetes; Cantharellales; Hydnaceae
Also listed under: 1 other name
Description: partial 23S ribosomal RNA
Rfam family: Eukaryotic large subunit ribosomal RNA
Source: RNAcentral